Molecule: ribosomal RNA, 550 nt
Filed under: uncultured bacterium
Lineage: Bacteria
Description: bacterial SSU rRNA
Rfam family: Bacterial small subunit ribosomal RNA
Source: RNAcentral
UAGGGAAUCUUCGGCAAUGGACGGAAGUCUGACCGAGCAACGCCGCGUGAGUGAAGAAGGUUUUCGGAUCGUAAAGCUCUGUUGUAAGAGAAGAACGAGUGUGAGAGUGGAAAGUUCACACUGUGACGGUAUCUUACCAGAAAGGGACGGCUAACUACGUGCCAGCAGCCGCGGUAAUACGUAGGUCCCGAGCGUUGUCCGGAUUUAUUGGGCGUAAAGCGAGCGCAGGCGGUUAGAUAAGUCUGAAGUUAAAGGCUGUGGCUUAACCAUAGUAGGCUUUGGAAACUGUUUAACUUGAGUGCAAGAGGGGAGAGUGGAAUUCCAUGUGUAGCGGUGAAAUGCGUAGAUAUAUGGAGGAAUACCGGUGGCGAAAGCGGCUCUCUGGCUUGUAACUGACGCUGAGGCUCGAAAGCGUGGGGAGCAAACAGGAUUAGAUACCCUGGUAGUCCACGCUGUAAACGAUGAGUGCUAGGUGUUAGACCCUUUCCGGGGUUUAGUGCCGUAGCUAACGCAUUAAGCACUCCGCCUGGGGAGUACGACCGCAAGGGUU